UACGUAUGUGGCGAGCGUUGUUCGGAAUUACUGGGCAUAAAGGGUUCGUAGGCGGAUUUGUUAGUUGGGUGUGAAAUCCCGGGGCUUACCCCCGGAACUGCAUUCAAUACUGCAAAUCUGGAGUCCUUCAGGGGUAAGUGGAAUUCCAUGUGUAGCGGUGAAAUGCGUAGAUAUAUGGGAGAACGCCAAUGGCGAAGGCAGCUUACUGGGGAGAGACUGACGCUGAGGAACGAAAGUUAGGGGAUCGAACGGG
Molecule: ribosomal RNA, 253 nt
Filed under: uncultured bacterium
Lineage: Bacteria
Description: partial 16S ribosomal RNA
Rfam family: Bacterial small subunit ribosomal RNA
Source: RNAcentral